UACGAAGGGGGCUAGCGUUGCUCGGAAUCACUGGGCGUAAAGGGUGCGUAGGCGGGUCUUUAAGUCAGGGGUGAAAUCCUGGAGCUCAACUCCAGAACUGCCUUUGAUACUGAAGAUCUUGAGUUCGGGAGAGGUGAGUGGAACUGCGAGUGUAGAGGUGAAAUUCGUAGAUAUUCGCAAGAACACCAGUGGCGAAGGCGGCUCACAGGCCCGAUACUGACGCUGAGGUGCGAAAGCGUGGGGAGCAAACAGG
RNAcentral lists this ribosomal RNA (253 nucleotides) under uncultured bacterium. RNAcentral describes it as "partial 16S ribosomal RNA". It matches the Rfam family "Bacterial small subunit ribosomal RNA", at positions 524 to 776 of the family's 1533-position model. The record is from RNAcentral.